GAUGAACGCUGGCGGCGUGCCUAACACAUGCAAGUCGAACGGAGUCCAGCCUUAGAGACCUUCGGGUCAAAGAGGGGAAGACUGAGUGGCGGACGGGUGAGUAACACGUGGGCAACCUGGCUCAUAGAGGGGGAUAACAGAGAGAAAUUUCUGCUAAUACCGCAUAAGCACACACUGCCGCAUGGCAGAGUGUGAAAAGAGAAUCGCUAUGAGAUGGACCCGCGUCUGAUUAGCCAGUUGGCAGGGUAAGAGCCUACCAAAGCGACGAUCAGUAGCCGAUUUGAGAGGAUGAACGGCCACAUUGGGACUGAGACACGGCCCAAACUCCUACGGGAAGCAGCAGUGGGGGAUAUUGCACAAUGGGGGGAACCCUGAUGCAGCGACGCCGCGUGAGUGAAGGAGUAUUUCGGUAUGUAAAGCUCUAUCAGCAGGGAAGAUAAUGACAGUACCUGAAUAAGAAGCCCCGGCUAACUACGUG
RNAcentral lists this ribosomal RNA (478 nucleotides) under uncultured bacterium. Its description in RNAcentral is "partial 16S ribosomal RNA". It matches the Rfam family "Bacterial small subunit ribosomal RNA", at positions 28 to 507 of the family's 1533-position model. The record is from RNAcentral.